Molecule: transfer RNA, 53 nt
Filed under: Heterocephalus glaber (naked mole-rat)
Lineage: Eukaryota; Metazoa; Chordata; Mammalia; Rodentia; Bathyergidae
Rfam family: tRNA
About the family: Transfer RNA (tRNA) molecules are approximately 80 nucleotides in length. Their secondary structure includes four short double-helical elements and three loops (D, anti-codon, and T loops). Further hydrogen bonds mediate the characteristic L-shaped molecular structure. tRNAs have two regions of fundamental functional importance: the anti-codon, which is responsible for specific mRNA codon recognition, and the 3' end, to which the tRNAs corresponding amino acid is attached (by aminoacyl-tRNA synthetases). tRNAs cope with the degeneracy of the genetic code in two manners: having more than one tRNA (with a specific anti-codon) for a particular amino acid; and 'wobble' base-pairing, i.e. permitting non-standard base-pairing at the 3rd anti-codon position.
Source: Rfam by way of RNAcentral
AGCUUAAGAAAGCAUCAGACUUUUAAUCUGAAGUUCCAGAGUUUAAAACUCUG